This 253-nucleotide ribosomal RNA is filed under the name uncultured bacterium. RNAcentral's name for it is "partial 16S ribosomal RNA". It matches the Rfam family "Bacterial small subunit ribosomal RNA", at positions 524 to 776 of the family's 1533-position model. The record is from RNAcentral.
UACGUAGGGUGCAAGCGUUGUCCGGAAUCAUUGGGCGUAAAGCGCGCGUAGGCGGCCCGGUAAGUCCGCUGUGAAAGUCCAGGGCUCAACCCUGGAAAGCCGGUGGAUACUGCCGGGCUAGAGUCCGGAAGAGGCGAGUGGAAUUCCCGGUGUAGCGGUGAAAUGCGCAGAUAUCGGGAGGAACACCAAUGGCGAAGGCAGCUCGCUGGGACGGUACUGACGCUGAGACGCGAAAGCGUGGGGAGCAAGCAGG